CAGAAUGUUCAGAGGCGGCUGCUGCUGGCGGAAAAAGAAAACCGCAUGUGCGCGUCGUCCUCGCCUUCAUCCAACACACACUUGUGCACCACAGGGCGAGCGCCUUCCAUGAGGAGCCGUCCCGCGUAACCCGAAAGGGGGGCGGGACUGAGGCCUCGAUCCCUUUUCCAUUACCACCGCCUGUCUUAUACGCAUGUGAUGAAUUUCUAACGAAAUA
Molecule: unclassified non-coding RNA, 217 nt
Filed under: uncultured Ramaria
Lineage: Eukaryota; Fungi; Basidiomycota; Agaricomycetes; Gomphales; Gomphaceae
Description: sequence contains ITS1
Source: RNAcentral